RNAcentral lists this transfer RNA (74 nucleotides) under Ardenticatenales bacterium. RNAcentral's name for it is "tRNA-Pro". It matches the Rfam family "tRNA". Rfam says of the family: Transfer RNA (tRNA) molecules are approximately 80 nucleotides in length. Lineage: Bacteria; Bacillati; Chloroflexota; Ardenticatenia; Ardenticatenales. The record is from RNAcentral.
CGGGGUGUAGCGCAGUCCGGUAGCGCGCUUGCAUGGGGUGCAAGAGGUCGCUGGUUCGAAUCCAGUCUCCCCGA